AAGGAUCAUUAUUGAAGGGAUUCGUCCCCUCUUGAUAGAUACCCUUUGUUUAUGAGUACCAAUUGUUUCCUCGGCGGGCUUGCUCGCCGUUGGACAACCAAAAACCUUUGUAGUAGCCGUACCUUCAGUUUAAAAAUAAAUAUUAAAACUUUCAACAACGGAUCUCUUGGUUCUGGCAUCGAUGAAGAACGCAGCGAAAUGCGAUAAGUAGUGUGAAUUGCAGAAUUCAGUGAAUCAUCGAAUCUUUGAACGCACAUUGCGCCCUUCGGUAUUCCGUUGGGCAUGCCUGUUCGAGCGUCAUUUAAACCUUCAAGCUCUGCUUGGUGUUGGGUGUUUGUUCCGCCUUAGCGCGUGGACUCGCCUUAAAUUCAUUGGCAGCCGGUAUAUUGGCUUCAUGCGCAGCACAUUGCGUCAUGAUGUUAGCGUACCCCCCUUCCAUUAAGCUUUUUUCUUAGUUUGACCUCGGAUCAGGUAGGGAUACCCGCUGAACUUAA
RNAcentral lists this unclassified non-coding RNA (494 nucleotides) under Dothideomycetes sp. 4 KO-2013. RNAcentral describes it as "partial contains ITS1, 5.8S rRNA and ITS2". The stretch from base 147 to 300 matches the Rfam family "5.8S ribosomal RNA". The record is from RNAcentral. Lineage: Eukaryota; Fungi; Ascomycota; Dothideomycetes.